GACGAACGCUGGCGGCGUGCUUAACACAUGCAAGUCGAGCGGUAAGGCCUUUCGGGGUACACGAGCGGCGAACGGGUGAGUAACACGUGGGUGAUCUGCCCUGCACUUCGGGAUAAGCCUGGGAAACUGGGUCUAAUACCGGAUAUGACCUCCUAUCGCAUGGUGGGUGGUGGAAAGAUUUAUCGGUGCAGGAUGGGCCCGCGGCCUAUCAGCUUGUUGGUGGGGUAAUGGCCUACCAAGGCGACGACGGGUAGCCGACCUGAGAGGGUGACCGGCCACACUGGGACUGAGACACGGCCCAGACUCCUACGGGAGGCAGCAGUGGGGAAUAUUGCACAAUGGGCGAAAGCCUGAUGCAGCGACGCCGCGUGAGGGAUGACGGCCUUCGGGUUGUAAACCUCUUUCAGCAGGGACGAAGCGAAAGUGACGGUACCUGCAGAAGAAGCACCGGCUAACUACGUG
Molecule: ribosomal RNA, 462 nt
Filed under: uncultured bacterium
Lineage: Bacteria
Description: partial 16S ribosomal RNA
Rfam family: Bacterial small subunit ribosomal RNA
Source: RNAcentral